Molecule: transfer RNA, 65 nt
Filed under: Mytilus edulis (blue mussel)
Lineage: Eukaryota; Metazoa; Mollusca; Bivalvia; Mytilida; Mytilidae
Also listed under: 1 other name
Description: tRNA-Val
Source: RNAcentral
UGUAAUAUAAUAUAACUAGUAUGAUUCAUUUACACUGAAUAUGUCAGACAUUGUCUGUUUUACUU